UAAGGAAUAUUGCUCAAUGGGAGAAAUCCUGAAGCAGCAACGCCGCGUGGGGGAUGAAGGGUCUAUGACUUGUAAACUCCUGUAAAGAAGGAAAAAAUUCCCAUUAGAUGGGAGAUGAUGGUACUUCUGGAGUAAGCCCCGGCUAACUACGUGCCAGCAGCCGCGGUAAUACGUAGGGGGCAAGCGUUGUCCGGAUUUACUGGGUGUAAAGGGUGCUCAGGCGGAUUUGUAAGUCAGAGGUGAAAUCUUACAGCUUAACUGUGAAACUGCCUUUGAUACUGCAAGCCUAGAGUAUGGAAGAGAGCGAUGGAAUAUCUGGUGUAGCAGUGAAAUGCGUAGAUAUCAGAUAGAACACCAAUGGCGAAGGCAGUCACUUGGUCCAUUACUGACGCUAAAGCACGAAAGCGUGGGUAGCAAACA
Molecule: ribosomal RNA, 420 nt
Filed under: uncultured bacterium
Lineage: Bacteria
Description: bacterial SSU rRNA
Rfam family: Bacterial small subunit ribosomal RNA
Source: RNAcentral